GCAAGAUUAAAACGCUAAAAGAACAAGUGCACCUCAUGCACAGAUUCUUUGUGAAGUAGCAAGGUAUGUGAACAAAAAUUUCUUGGACAGUGUGAGAGGGGCAAUGCAUCUACAACCACUACAAAAAUAUAGGAGACAAUGGCCAAAUACAAUUUCAACAAUUUGCCUUCAGUAUAUAUUUCACAAGACUUAAAAUGCUUAAAGGUGCUCGUGCACAGCUUCUUUGUGAAGCAGCAAGGUAUGUGAACAAAAAUUUCUUGGACAGUGUGAGAGGGGCAAUGCAUCUACAACCACUACAAAAAUAUAGGAGACAAUGGCCAAAUACAAUUUCAACAAUUUGCCUUCAGUAUAUAUUUCACAAGACUUAAAAUGCUUAAAGGUGCUCGUGCACAGCUUCUUUGUGAAGCAGCAAGGUAUCUGAACGAAGAUUUCUUGGACACUCUGAGAGUGCAAAUGCUUCUACAACCACUGCAAAAACAUGGGAGACAAUGGCCAAACACAAUUUCAACAAUUUGCCUUCAGUCCUUACUUUUCAAGACUUAAAACACUUAAAA
This is a long non-coding RNA of Rhipicephalus sanguineus (brown dog tick), 554 nucleotides long. RefSeq lists it as uncharacterized. The record is from RefSeq and is a predicted model, not a curated record. The transcript has 4 exons. NCBI's taxonomy places the organism in Eukaryota, Metazoa, Arthropoda, Arachnida, Ixodida, Ixodidae.